This 464-nucleotide ribosomal RNA is filed under the name Vreelandella stevensii. RNAcentral describes it as "partial 16S ribosomal RNA". It matches the Rfam family "Bacterial small subunit ribosomal RNA", at positions 338 to 795 of the family's 1533-position model. Lineage: Bacteria; Pseudomonadati; Pseudomonadota; Gammaproteobacteria; Oceanospirillales; Halomonadaceae. The record is from RNAcentral.
CCUACGGGGGGCAGCAGUGGGGAAUAUUGGACAAUGGGGGCAACCCUGAUCCAGCCAUGCCGCGUGUGUGAAGAAGGCCCUCGGGUUGUAAAGCACUUUCAGUGAGGAAGAACGCCUGGUGGUUAAUACCCAUCAGGAAAGACAUCACUCACAGAAGAAGCACCGGCUAACUCCGUGCCAGCAGCCGCGGUAAUACGGAGGGUGCGAGCGUUAAUCGGAAUUACUGGGCGUAAGCGCGCGUAGGUGGCUUGAUAAGCCGGUUGUGAAAGCCCCGGGCUCAACCUGGGAACGGCAUCCGGAACUGUCAAGCUAGAGUGCAGGAGAGGAAGGUAGAAUUCCCGGUGUAGCGGUGAAAUGCGUAGAGAUCGGGAGGAAUACCAGUGGCGAAGGCGGCCUUCUGGACUGACACUGACACUGAGGUGCGAAAGCGUGGGUAGCAAACAGGAUUAGAUACCCGAGUAGUC